This 189-nucleotide microRNA precursor is filed under the name Oryza punctata. Its description in RNAcentral is "MIR812 microRNA precursor family". It matches the Rfam family "MIR812 microRNA precursor family". Lineage: Eukaryota; Viridiplantae; Streptophyta; Magnoliopsida; Poales; Poaceae. The record is from Rfam by way of RNAcentral.
UUUAUGUAUAGAAAUGAGUUUAUGUAUUCAACUUUGAUCGUCUAUUUUAUUUUAAAAAAAUAUUAAUAUUUUAAUUAUUAUUAGAUGAUAAAAUAUGAAUAAUAUUUUAUGCACGAUUUAUAUUUUUAAAUCUUUUUAAAUAAGAUGCACGAUUAAAGUUGGAUAUAGAAACUGAUAAACGUGUUUAAA